Molecule: transfer RNA, 72 nt
Filed under: Medicago truncatula (barrel medic)
Lineage: Eukaryota; Viridiplantae; Streptophyta; Magnoliopsida; Fabales; Fabaceae
Description: tRNA-iMet (CAT) (tRNA-iMet-CAT-6-1)
Rfam family: tRNA
About the family: Transfer RNA (tRNA) molecules are approximately 80 nucleotides in length.
Source: Rfam by way of RNAcentral
AUCAGAGUGGCGCAGCGGAAGCGUGGUGGGCCCAUAACCCAUAGGUCCCUGGAUUAAAACCAGGCUCUGAUA